AGAGCGAACGCUGGCGGCAGGCUUAACACAUGCAAGUCGAACGGGCGUAGCAAUACGUCAGCGGCAGACGGGUGAGUAACGCGUGGGAACAUACCUUUUGGUUCGGAACAACACAGGGAAACUUGUGCUAAUACCGGAUAAGCCCUUACGGGGAAAGAUUUAUCGCCGAAAGAUUGGCCCGCGUCUGAUUAGCUAGUUGGUGAGGUAACGGCUCACCAAGGCGACGAUCAGUAGCUGGUCUGAGAGGAUGAUCAGCCACAUUGGGACUGAGACACGGCCCAAACUCCUACGGGAGGCAGCAGUGGGGAAUAUUGGACAAUGGGCGCAAGCCUGAUCCAGCCAUGCCGCGUGAGUGAUGAAGGCCCUAGGGUUGUAAAGCUCUUUCACACGCGACGAUGAUGACGGUAGCGUGAGAAGAAGCCCGGCUAACUUCGUGCCAGCAGCCGC
Molecule: ribosomal RNA, 447 nt
Filed under: uncultured bacterium
Lineage: Bacteria
Description: SSU rRNA
Rfam family: Bacterial small subunit ribosomal RNA
Source: RNAcentral